UUUCUCCUUUCAGCUCUCUUUCUACCCAACAUCCUUCUUUUUCUUCUUCUUCUCCAUCUUUUUUGUCUUCCAAAAUUCCUCUCUACUUUUCUCCUUCUUCCCAAACCCUUCUACUCCCUUUCUCCUUCAUCACUCAUGGCUCCCAAGCGCAUUCGCACUGCUCACGAGUCCUCUUCCAGCAACCCUCGACCUAAGGAAAAACAUGAGGAAGUGCCCAUUGCCCCUGAUCUGCGAUUCCGUGAUGUAGACCAAAGAGCAAGGUGGUCCAAGAUGGGUAGCAGGCAAAUGCAACUCUUCAGCUUUUCGCCACCCCGCUAUCUAUAUCGUGUAUCGUUAUUGCCUCCUUUAUUUUUGGCAAGAGGAGACUCUGAAGGCAAAGUUAGACUGAGUGACUUGUUGUUCAUCUAGGCUAUGGUCAAGAAUAGGGUAGAUAAAAUUAAUUAUGGAUCACACUUGGCCCGACAAUUUCAAAGCAUCAUCACUAUUGACUCCGAAUUAAUAGUUAUUAGGGGCCUUAUAACUACCAUUGCAAAAUAUUUGGAAUACAUAACUUUUGUGGAGCAACUACAGGCCAUUGAAGGCAGCCGAAGUAUUAGCUUUGCUACUUGUUUUGUUAUGAACUGCAUCACUAGAGAAGAGAUGAAAACAAUCAAUAUUAUUUCAUUAUCUCUCAAUCAGGAGCUCAUCAUCCACUCCCCAACCCACAAUGCUCCAUCAAGAAUGAGGAUACCUGGCGUUUCCCUCUAGAACCCACUAUAGAAUUUUUAGGGAUAGAAGGGGACACUGCAAAACCAGGAGCUGAAGAGGAACCUUUGGAUGAGCCAGAGGAGCCAAAGCAGCAAGAGCAGUAAGACAUUGACAAUAUACAAAUCCUUGUAGCUAUACAAGCCAUGGAUAAUCGUCUUUAGCAAAUGGAUGAACGCCAAUAACAUUACCAUCAUAUGGUAGAUCAAAUGUAUAAUUGGCACCUCCGACGAUAUCCUGAUGACUUCUCACUUCAGUAAGUUAUUUUCUAUACCCUACUUUUAUUGCUUAGGGACAAGCAAUUAUUCAAGUUUGGGGUUGUUAGGGGUGGUCUGUCAUGCACCUAUUUUUGUCAUGCACUCAUGCAUUUUUAAAUUUUGAUCCACUCAUUGUUUGGAUGCAUUCAUUUUUAAUUUUUCAAUGCAAUUUAAUUUGUUCCCAUGCAUAUAUUAUACUUCAUUCAUGCAUAAAAAUAAAUAAUAAUAAAAACAAAAUUGUAAGUUUUCUAAUCAAUUCCUGUUUGAACCUUAAAAACAAAAAGAAAAUUUUGAAUUUUGGAGGUAAAGGUUUCAUAAGUAAGUCAUCUAGAGGGUAGAUAUCUCAAUUUUUGGUGCCUCAAUAAAAAGACUAAAAAAAUUAGCUAGAAUCAUCGAUAUUGCUUAUCUUUCUACAAUUUGAUAAUUUUGAUUGGGGGAAAAAGAAAAUAAUUGAUAAUCAGGUGAGGAUAAAUAAGCCUUUUGUCUUUUAUUAAUUAAGAAACUAAGUGGGGGUAGAAUAAACUCAAAAUAAAUGAAUUAAUCAAUUAAAAUAAAUAAAUAAAUAAAUAAAUAAGAGGAAAAAGUUAAAUAAAUAUCUCAUCAAGCACCCCUUUGAGAUCAUAGGCUUGAGGAAAAAUUCAAAACCUUGAAAAAAAAAAAAUCUAACCAACUAUUGGGAAAAUGUCUAGUAAAUGGCUAGGCACCCCUUUGAGGUUGUAAAUUCUUCUACUGAUUGGCUAUUGGGGAAAUGUUUGAGAGAAAUAAAUUAAGUAAGCAAAAACUAAAAACUAAUCUCUGCUCCCCUUUGUUGUAUAAGCAUGAAGGUAUAGGAUUGCUAAUUUUGAGCUUGAUGACUCAAAUUAUUUGAAAUUUUCCCUUGAACUUGAUUUGAUGAAAGGUAAAGAACAAGCAAAAAUAUGAUAAAUAAGUCUCUAAUUGGGUCUUGUGUGACACUAAAAUAGAGUACUUUACAUGAUGGAUUGCUUCUUUGAAACUUAACUCUCUUGAAUAUGAUUAUUGCUUGAGGACAAACAAAGGUUUAAGUUUGGGGUUGUUUGAUCAUUGACAAUUUAAUCUACAUUUUACCCUAGAAAGCAAGCAUUUUCAUGCAUUUUAGUAUUUUAAAUAUGGUUAGGAUAGCUUGUUAUUCUUCCUUUUAUACUUUGAUGCACUUUUGGUAUGUUUUAAUUAUUUCUAGAGGGUUUAGGCCCGGCAAGGGAUCAUAAAGAGUGAAGGAAUUCAUGAAGACUGCAAGCAAGGAAGAUCACAAUCGUGACUGGUGAGUCACACCUAUGAUUCACGUGCAAAAAGUGAAGAUUCUCAAACAGGAUCAAUCAUGGUUGUGACUCACUGGUCACACUUGUGACUCGCUCUGUCUCGACAAUACAUUGAAAGUCAAGGAGAUCACGGUCAUGACUCACCAGUCAUGCCCGUGACUCUCUUGAAAAAUUGAAAAUCCUAAUUUUUGUUCCUUGUUUCCCUUUUUAUUUAUUUAUGUAAUUUCCUUUUCCUAUGUUACCUUGGUUAGCUUAUAAAUUAGCAUGUUAGGGUCUAAACCUAUAUCUUUUGCUUCAACUUUGUUUUAAAGAUUAAGGAGAAGGAUUGCGCUUGUGCUUUAUACCUCUAAGGUCUUAUUAUCUUUUCUUUUCUUUUUAUUUCUUUUCUGGGGAAAACUACCAUGAUCAUGUGUGAGUAGUUCCCUAUUUUUGGAAUCAUGGCUUAGCCCCUUGAGAACCUUUUGGUUAAUGUAUUAUUCAGUUUUCUUAUA
Long non-coding RNA from Cajanus cajan (pigeon pea), 2769 nucleotides. RefSeq lists it as uncharacterized. Lineage: Eukaryota; Viridiplantae; Streptophyta; Magnoliopsida; Fabales; Fabaceae. The record is from RefSeq and is a predicted model, not a curated record.